RNAcentral lists this ribosomal RNA (274 nucleotides) under uncultured bacterium. RNAcentral describes it as "partial 16S ribosomal RNA". It matches the Rfam family "Bacterial small subunit ribosomal RNA", at positions 523 to 796 of the family's 1533-position model. The record is from RNAcentral.
AUACGAAGGGGGCUAGCGUUGCUCGGAAUUACUGGGCGUAAAGGGAGCGUAGGCGGACAUUUAAGUCAGGGGUGAAAUCCCGGGGCUCAACCUCGGAAUUGCCUUUGAUACUGGGUGUCUUGAGUGUGAGAGAGGUAUGUGGAACUCCGAGUGUAGAGGUGAAAUUCGUAGAUAUUCGGAAGAACACCAGUGGCGAAGGCGACAUACUGGCUCAUUACUGACGCUGAGGCUCGAAAGCGUGGGUAGCAAACAGGAUUAGAAACCCUAGUAGUCC